AUGCCAGCCACAGUACCUGCCACCUACUAAACCUGAAGUUUGGAAAGCCCUAGAGAAAGGAUCAAUCUUUAGAUAGAUAGGUCCUAAUUUGCUGUUGAUUUCCCUUUACUGUGCUUGUUUGGCAUAACUGCUGCAGAGGUACUUACAUUGAUCCAGUCACAACUGCCUUUAGACAGAGAAAUAAGCAGCAGAAGGAGUGGAACUUCUGAGAAAUGCACCUUCUGCUUUUGUUCAGCUGUUCCUGCCUCUUUCUCAGGAAAACUGAAGAUCAGAGGCUGAGGGGGAAUCCUGAACCAGGAGAAGAUAAAGAAACUCACCUCACUCUUUGUAAGGUUGGAAGGGGCAGCAGGAGAUUGUCUAGUCCUAUCUCCUGUCCAAAGCAGGAUCAACUACAGCAGGCUUCUCUGGACCAUGAUCAGUUGGGUGGUAAAUAUCUCCAAAGAUGCAGACUUCAAAUGUCUCCAUGCAGUUUGUUCCG
Molecule: long non-coding RNA, 478 nt
Organism: Vidua macroura (Pin-tailed whydah)
Lineage: Eukaryota; Metazoa; Chordata; Aves; Passeriformes; Viduidae
Exons: 3
Source: RefSeq, a predicted model, not a curated record